AACGAACGCUGGCGGCGUGUCUUAAGCAUGCAAGUCGUGCGGCAAGGGGUAGCAAUACCCCCUAGAGCGGCGGACUGGUGAGUAACGCGUGGGUGAUCUGCCCUUGGGUUGGGGAUAGCCAUUAGAAAUAGUGGGUAAUACCGAAUACGUUCGCCGGGCUGUGGCCUGGCGAGGAAAAGCGCUUCGGCGCUGCCCGAGGAUGAGCCCGCGUCCCAUUAGCUAGUUGGUGAGGUAACGGCCCACCAAGGCGAUGAUGGGUAGCCGGCCUGAGAGGGUGUACGGCCACACUGGGACUGAGAUACGGCCCAGACUCCUACGGGAGGCAGCAGCUAAGAAUAUUCCGCAAUGGACGAAAGUCUGACGGAGCGACGCCGCGUGGACGAUGAAGGCCGAAAGGUUGUAAAGUCCUUUUGUCGGGGAAGAAUAACCAUGGGAGGGAAUGCCCGUGGGAUGACAUGAACCGACGAAUAAGCCCCGGCUAACUACGUGCCAGCCGCCGCAGUAA
Molecule: ribosomal RNA, 505 nt
Filed under: uncultured bacterium
Lineage: Bacteria
Description: partial 16S ribosomal RNA
Rfam family: Bacterial small subunit ribosomal RNA
Source: RNAcentral